Molecule: long non-coding RNA, 2145 nt
Filed under: Canis lupus familiaris (dog)
Lineage: Eukaryota; Metazoa; Chordata; Mammalia; Carnivora; Canidae
Description: lncRNA (ENSCAFG00845028275.1)
Source: RNAcentral
GUCAGGAAACAGCCUGUCACACGAAGUGUGUCUCAAGCUCAUUGAUCUUUUCAGGGCCUGGCGGGUCUUCAACAUCACCGUGCUUGUUCCACCUACUUCGCCCGCACUGGGACCAUGUUCCAGAAUGUGCAGGGCAGAGGUCACUUCCAAAGGAUGCCUUCUCCCUGCGUGAGGCUCAGAGUGGCGGAAACAAAAAUGCAGCCAAAGGAACCCGAUUGUCAUUGACGGAAGAAAAAGGUAUUCACAAGUUUCUUUAUGUUUUGAAUAAUUGUUUCCUGUUUUGCUCAGCAGAACAAGUAAUUAAGAUGACAUUUGUGAGUACUAAUUUGGAUCACACUUAUGUGUAUGUGUUACAGAGCUGCAAGCCAAAACAUGCAAAACCAGCCUCUCAUUGAGGAGAAAGUGAAAAAUCCAGAAUGAGCUGGAAGGGGAGGGCCGAGAACUCCCAGGAGCCCUUGUGUGAAUCAGAAGCUCUCCUUAGCCUGGUGCCUCUGCCCACAGCCCCGUGCCGCCCACAGGAGCCACCACCCUGCACCUGGGCCGGGUGAUGGCAUCCCCGUCAGACCUCAGCCGCUCUACCGUCUGGGCUCCUGGCCUCUGCCCACCUGCCUGAGCCUGAAGCUGGUUCUCGGAUCAGCGUGCCCAUCUAGCGUAGCCUGAGCCCUUGCUCCCUCCCUGCCAAGCCCUCCAGUUUGGAAGCAGAGGCAGGAGGGCCAGGGCGGGGGGGGGGGUGGGGGAUCUUGUGGUUGGUUAACUGCAGGGUGCUGCUGUGGCCUCUGUCACACAGUCCCCGACAGACAUGGAGUGCAACAUACGUACAGAUGGCCCCUCUGGGGACUGAGCCGUCUCAGGAACGGUAAGAAUUUCUCUAUGCAGGUUAGAGGGCGGUCUGAGGACCGAGAAGUUUGUAAAAGUUUCUUCCAUGAAUGACCUUUAUCUUGCCCCAAGAUGCAGCCCUGGGGCCCAGGUUCUGAAAGGGAAACACCCCCCACCCUCCACCCAGCCCAGUCUAACGUAUGCAUGCGUUUUGCCUUGCAUUCGAAUCAAAACAGAUAAAAUUACCCAAAGUGAAAUUCACAGACAAGAAAUACUUUAAUUAAAUAUUGUGUAAAAUGAACAUUUUUAUACAGUUAAAUAUCUGAAAAAAUGUACAGAUAAAACAAUCUUAUUGUAGGGUCUUUAACAGUAAAAUCUACCAUUUAGUGAAGCGCUCAAUUUUGAGACAAUGAAGCGAUGAGGGGCAUUGACUAAUUAAUCUAAAACACAAACCGAGUGCAGGGAUGAGGAAACUUGCAAACGUUCUCAACAUGUACACGUGAGCUUGUUUUUUUAGAUCAAACCCUUACUUAUACAAAAUAAAACGGAGGCAAUUUAGUUCCAAAGUGACUUCUCAGGCUUUCCCACGUAGCUAAGCCUUAGGGGUCAUGGGGCCGGACCGCGACCCGCUGACCACCGGGACAUUCUGCUGUUUUAUUUAGUCCCUCGAAUGAACACUUUCCUAAGUUGUGCAUGGUUUUGUUCUUUUGUCAAGAAAGUUGUUUUUUAAUGUCCCUCCUUUUUGUUUUACAUCUGAUUUCUGCUGCAAUUCGCGAAACGUCUGCUGUGCUGUGUCUGUGAGGCGUUUAACACAAAGGGAAAGACUGACCCUCCUGGUCUCACUGUGGGUUUGGCACGAACAGGCACAGUAUCUGAAGGAGGUCAUUCCGGUUUUAAAAAGUACAGACAGCGCUGCAGGGGUCCGACCACAAAAAAGGUGUCGUUUCAAAAAAAGUUAAAAACCAGCAGUGAUUUUUGGUUCCCCCGAAACCUCUCUGGAUCCUAGGUGGGCCCCAGGGAGACACGGAACGCAGCAGAAUCAGACGCAGAAUGGAGCGACACAUGGAACGUCAGGUUUGUGCUUUUGUUUGUGUGUGUGUGUGUGUGUGUGUGUGUGUUUACACCAUAAAUCUCCAAAUGAAAUAUCGAUUAACGAUUGUGUUGUAAGCCUGUGAUAAAAUAGCACAAAGGUUCUUUAAAGAAGUCCACUUUUAAGGCAUCAGAGAAGUUAAUGUGGCAAACAUUUUAAUUAAAACAUCAGAAGUAAAUUUUAUUUUAAACUUUAGGCCUCUGAAUUUUUCCAGUAAACACAGUUCAGCUAUGUGGCAA